RNAcentral lists this ribosomal RNA (164 nucleotides) under Aconitum ferox. RNAcentral describes it as "5.8S rRNA". It matches the Rfam family "5.8S ribosomal RNA". Rfam says of the family: 5.8S ribosomal RNA (5.8S rRNA) is a component of the large subunit of the eukaryotic ribosome. The record is from RNAcentral. Lineage: Eukaryota; Viridiplantae; Streptophyta; Magnoliopsida; Ranunculales; Ranunculaceae.
AAACGACUCUCGGCAACGGAUAUCUCGGCUCUUGCAUCGAUGAAGAACGUAGCGAAAUGCGAUACUUGGUGUGAAUUGCAGAAUCCCGUGAACCAUCGAGUCUUUGAACGCAAGUUGCGCCCGAGUCCAUAGGUCGAGGGCACGUCUGCCUGGGCGUCACACAC